AAUGGCAGGAGACACCAUGAGAUGUUUUCUACUGUAGAAACUUUCUCAUUAGAAAUAGCCCAUUUAUACAGGGGACUGGCUAAUGUUUUUCUAUGAGUAUCAUUAGCCAGUGUCUCAAAGUGGUGAAGAGUAAGUAUAUAGCAUCUUUCAAAAGUCACUUAUUGGUAUCUCCUCCAGUCCCAGAAGGAGGAGUUGAGGCCGACAUUGGACAAACAAAGCCUUAAUUUAAAAGCAGGGACUGCAACCUGGAACAAGGAGAGACAAAGGGAAGGAGGAGUCUGGAGCCAUAUUGAAGAUGAAAUUGAGAUAUGGACUAGGUGGUGGAUCGUUUUUAUAAGAGGACAUAAAAGAGGAUGCUAAAGCUAAUUGCCACAAUCAGAACUCAAAGACCUAGCAAAUGCAAGGUGGUAUUUAUUCUAAACUCAGCAAAGUAGUAGAAAAAUAGUUUUGAGAACAGUUUUAAGGAGACUAGGGUAACAGUGAGAAAAUAGUUCAUGGCUAGUCUGGACUUAGGACUUUAGGGUCGGCCUGGUGAAUUGAAGGGAAGCAGCUGAUACA
RNAcentral lists this long non-coding RNA (558 nucleotides) under Homo sapiens (human). RNAcentral describes it as "non-protein coding lnc-NFE2L2-3:2". The record is from RNAcentral. Lineage: Eukaryota; Metazoa; Chordata; Mammalia; Primates; Hominidae.